This 420-nucleotide long non-coding RNA is filed under the name Musa acuminata (dwarf banana). RNAcentral describes it as "long non-coding RNA (MACU_LNC010249)". The record is from RNAcentral. Lineage: Eukaryota; Viridiplantae; Streptophyta; Magnoliopsida; Zingiberales; Musaceae.
CCAGGAGGUGGAUGGAUAUCCCUCUCCCAUUGGUCAGCAAUCUAUCCUUCUUGCGUUCUCAGAUUUCCUUCAGAUUUGGUGGCUCCCACUCUCUCUCACACAAACUGCAGUAUAACACAACUACGCCACACAACCAGCGACAGAGGAACGCCAAGGCCCUCAUCAUCAUCAAGCACAGCAACCCAGUUGUCUCAGGCGGUGUUUCUUUCCCUUGUAAGCCAAGAGCAAUGGUCAUGGCCUCCACCUCUGCUGCAGUGCUCCAAGGCAUCUCCACCCCUUUCCUCUCGGGCUCCAGGGCCGCCCGGAGUCUUCUGAACGCCACCGCCGGCGGCAGGGCUUCCUCAGCAGCAGCAGGUUCUCCGAGGAGGCUCCUUGUCGUCACCGCCGCCGCCCCGAAGAAGUCCUGGAUCCCGGCGGUCA